AAAUUCCUAAAAGUUUUGCCAAAUACAGCUAAGGUAAUCUAUGCCUGAGGUAGAAAAGCCUUAGUUUUUCAAAAAAUACUGUUUAAAGAAAAAUAUGGGUUUCUGCAAGAGAAGUCAUGGUUUGAUAAAAAAUAUUUAUUUCUGCAUGAAUAAAAAAAUAUUAAGAGGGGAAAAUGACACUCAACUUAAAUUUUGGCAUUUUAAAUAAUGAUUUCUCAUUCAUGCAUU
Molecule: long non-coding RNA, 228 nt
Filed under: Mytilus galloprovincialis (Mediterranean mussel)
Lineage: Eukaryota; Metazoa; Mollusca; Bivalvia; Mytilida; Mytilidae
Source: RNAcentral